GGCCGGGAUAGCCCAGGGAAACCUGGAUUAAUACCGGAUGAGACGGGACCCGCGAUGGCGGGAUCCGGGAAAGGCGCUGCGGCGCGCCGGGGGAUGAGUCUGCGUCCCAUUAGCUAGACGGCGGGGUAACGGCCCACCGUGGCGACGAUGGGUAGCCGGCCUGAGAGGGUGACGGCCACAUUGGAACUGAGACACGGUCCAGACUCCUACGGGAGGCAGCAGCUAAGAAUCUUCCGCAAUGGGCGAAAGCCUGACGGAGCGACGCCCCGCGUGAACGAAGAAGGCCGUGAGGUUGUAAAGUUCUUUUCGGGAGGGGGAACAACCGUGGCAGGGAAUGGCCGACGGGAUGACGUGAAUCCCGGAAUAAGCCCCGGCUAACUACGUGCCAGCAGCAGC
Molecule: ribosomal RNA, 396 nt
Filed under: uncultured bacterium
Lineage: Bacteria
Description: bacterial SSU rRNA
Rfam family: Bacterial small subunit ribosomal RNA
Source: RNAcentral